This 371-nucleotide ribosomal RNA is filed under the name uncultured organism. RNAcentral's name for it is "partial 16S ribosomal RNA". It matches the Rfam family "Bacterial small subunit ribosomal RNA", at positions 527 to 896 of the family's 1533-position model. The record is from RNAcentral.
GUAGGUGGCAAGCGUUGUCCGGAAUUAUUGGGCGUAAAGCGCGCGCAGGCGGUCCUUUAAGUCUGAUGUGAAAGCCCACGGCUCAACCGUGGAGGGUCAUUGGAAACUGGGGGACUUGAGUACAGAAGAGGAAAGCGGAAUUCCAAGUGUAGCGGUGAAACGCGUAGAGAUUUGGAGGAACACCAGUGGCGAAGGCGGCUUUCUGGUCUGUAACUGACGCUGAGGCGCGAAAGCGUGGGGAGCAAACAGGAUUAGAUACCCUGGUAGUCCACGCCGUAAACGAUGAGUGCUAAGUGUUAGGGGGUUUCCGCCCCUUAGUGCUGCAGCUAACGCAUUAAGCACUCCGCCUGGGGAGUACGGCCGCAAGGCUG